Molecule: long non-coding RNA, 655 nt
Organism: Centropristis striata (black sea bass)
Lineage: Eukaryota; Metazoa; Chordata; Actinopteri; Perciformes; Serranidae
Exons: 2
Source: RefSeq, a predicted model, not a curated record
AAAAGUAGUUGUAAGCUAUUUGAAACCGUUUAAAGUUACUGGUGUUACUAAAACCUUAAACCGGAUGGUUUGUUUGUGUGUUACUGGUGUUAAAUGGAAAGUGAGCCCAAAUGUGAGUUCAAAGCUGUUUCAGCCGGGAAUUGUACUGAAUGUCCGAGACGCCAUUAUCGUUUGUGUAUGGAGCUAGAGUUAGCCUCGUCCCGGCUAGCUGGAAGGAGACCACGUGUGGGAGGGAGAAAUAUUUUGCGCCGUGUUUCCUGAUGUGCCUGCCUCCGUGCCUUCGGACCUACAUGCCUGCCGCUGGUCUGCUGCUGCUGUAGAGGGUGCUCAGGAUCCACACUGUCGCCAGAGAACCUGCUGCUUCAGGAGCACGUGUCAGCGGGACUAGUUUCUUCAUUUCCACUCACCUUACUCUUCUGAACCGAGAGUUUGAGAAAACUGUGGUUGUCCGUGUGUACUGAGAAACAUUUUCACAAGGAUACAUGAGCUCCAACUUAACAUGCGCGCCAACGAUAUGGUACCAUAACUGACUUACAAAACCCCGGGUAUAUUUUUUUGUUUAUUUUAUUUCUAUGACUCAAAGGGUCACCAGGUCAAAAAAGUAAAGGGUGAUUGCCUGUAUUUUCUUUUGUGUAAUAAACAUUCUUGUUGUGUA